GUCAGCCUUGCUGCGUUUUGCGAAGAGGUCUAGUUCUGAAAAAUAAAAGUUAAAACAAUGAAAAUAUUUUAGUCUUCCCGAGCUGACAAUUGUUUAUGUGUAACUAAGUAUCAUUUGAAAUUUUCUUUUCCGUUUCAUAUGUUGAAUAUAGGGAUAGUGCCAGGAAAGCUCUUAAGCCUCAUUUGAGCGAGCAAAAAAAUGGGUGCUAGAACUGAAAUCACAAGGUAUUGCUCGCACUUUCUUGCUGUCUAAACUCACUCAGUCCUCGGCUGCUUUAAACAAUUUUAGGCUAUAACUUUAAUUUCAGUUUUGUUUAGGUGCUGUACUCUGUAUACUAACUUUCUAUGCGAGUUUGCGUCUUUCAAUAUAGCUAAUUCUAUCUACUUGGAUCAUUCCCUUAUGACAAGGCAAUCCAAAUAUGGUCAUGGCACUAGCUGGGAAUAAAGCAGAUCUAGUAGAGUCAACUCUCGGUCAAUAAGCACUUGUUGCUUUAUUUUAGCAUUCUUAC
RNAcentral lists this long non-coding RNA (508 nucleotides) under Rosa chinensis. RNAcentral's name for it is "sRNA RchiOBHm_Chr3g0494771". Lineage: Eukaryota; Viridiplantae; Streptophyta; Magnoliopsida; Rosales; Rosaceae. The record is from RNAcentral.